GACCCAGACUCCUACGGGAGGCAGCAGUGGGGAAUAUUGCACAAUGGGGGAAACCCUGAUGCAGCGACGCCGCGUGGGCGAGGAAGUACCUCGGUAUGUAAAGCCCUAUCAGCAGGGAAGAAACAGGACAGUACCUGACUAAGAAGCCCCGGCUAACUACGUGCCAGCAGCCGCGGUAAUACGUAGGGGGCAAGCGUUAUCCGGAUUCACUGGGCGUAAAGGGAGCGCAGGCGGCAUGGCAAGUCUGAUGUGAAAACCCGGGGCCCAACCCCGGGAGUGCAUUGGAAACUGUGCAGCUAGAGUGCAGGAGAGGUAAGUGGAAUUCCUAGUGUAGCGGUGAAAUGCGUAGAUAUUAGGAGGAACACCAGUGGCGAAGGCGGCUUACUGGACUGUAACUGACGUUGAGGCUCGAAAGCGUGGGGAGCAAACAGGAUUAGAUACCCGGGUAGA
Molecule: ribosomal RNA, 450 nt
Filed under: uncultured bacterium
Lineage: Bacteria
Description: bacterial SSU rRNA
Rfam family: Bacterial small subunit ribosomal RNA
Source: RNAcentral